Molecule: transfer RNA, 66 nt
Filed under: Austrogymnocnemia maculata
Lineage: Eukaryota; Metazoa; Arthropoda; Insecta; Neuroptera; Myrmeleontidae
Description: tRNA-Leu
Rfam family: tRNA
About the family: Transfer RNA (tRNA) molecules are approximately 80 nucleotides in length.
Source: RNAcentral
AUUACUUUGGCAGAAUAGUGCGUUGAAUUUAGAAUUCAAAAAUGUAAAUAUGUUUUACAUGUAAUA